Molecule: ribosomal RNA, 450 nt
Filed under: uncultured bacterium
Lineage: Bacteria
Description: partial 16S ribosomal RNA
Rfam family: Bacterial small subunit ribosomal RNA
Source: RNAcentral
GUGGGGAAUCUUCCGCAAUGGACGAAAGUCUGACGGAGCAACGCCGCGUGAGUGAAGAAGGUUUUCGGAUCGUAAAGCUCUUUCGUUAGGGACGAACGUGCUCUUUGUGAAUAAUGAGGAGUAAUGACGGUACCUAAAUAAGAAGCCACGGCUAACUACGUGCCAGCAGCCGCGGUAAUACGUAGGUGGCAAGCGUUGUCCGGAAUUAUUGGGCGUAAAGCGCGCGCAGGCGGGAUAUCAAGUCUGUCUUAAAAGUGCGAGGCUCAACCUCGGAAGGGGACAGAAACUGGUAUUCUUGAGUGUCGGAGAGGUAAGUGGAAUUCCAAGUGUAGCGGUGAAAUGCGUAGAGAUUGGGAAGAACACCAGUGGCGAAGGCGACUUUCUGGACGAUGUCUGACGCUGAGGCGCGAAAGCUAGGGGAGCGAACGGGAUUAGAAACCCUAGUAGUCC